GAUGAACGCUGGCGGCGUGCCUAAUACAUGCAAGUCGAGCGAACAGACGAGGAGCUUGCUCCUCUGACGUUAGCGGCGGACGGGUGAGUAACACGUGGAUAACCUACCUAUAAGACUGGGAUAACUUCGGGAAACCGGAGCUAAUACCGGAUAAUAUAUUGAACCGCAUGGUUCAAUAGUGAAAGACGGUUUUGCUGUCACUUAUAGAUGGAUCCGCGCCGCAUUAGCUAGUUGGUAAGGUAACGGCUUACCAAGGCGACGAUGCGUAGCCGACCUGAGAGGGUGAUCGGCCACACUGGAACUGAGACACGGUCCAGACUCCUACGGGAGGCAGCAGUAGGGAAUCUUCCGCAAUGGGCGAAAGCCUGACGGAGCAACGCCGCGUGAGUGAUGAAGGUCUUCGGAUCGUAAAUCUCUGUUAUUAGGGAAGAACAAAUGUGUAAGUAACUAUGCACGUCUUGACGGUACCUAAUCAGAAAGCCACGGCUAACUACGUG
This 497-nucleotide ribosomal RNA is filed under the name uncultured bacterium. RNAcentral's name for it is "partial 16S ribosomal RNA". It matches the Rfam family "Bacterial small subunit ribosomal RNA", at positions 28 to 507 of the family's 1533-position model. The record is from RNAcentral.